UUACGGCCAUAUCACAUUGAAACACCAGUUCCUGUAUGAUAACCGAAGUUAAGCAAUGUUGAGCCUGAUCAGUAUCUAGAUAGGUGACCACUUGGAAAUACCAGGUGCUGUAAG
Molecule: non-coding RNA, 114 nt
Organism: Acanthosepion pharaonis
Lineage: Eukaryota; Metazoa; Mollusca; Cephalopoda; Sepiida; Sepiidae
Source: the annotation of a GenBank genome assembly